CUGGCUCAGGAUGAACGCUAGCGACAGGCCUAACACAUGCAAGUCGAGGGGCAGCACAAGGAGCAAUCUGAGGUGGCGACCGGCGCACGGGUGAGUAACACGUAUGCAACCUGCCUGUAAGCGGGGAAUAACCCGUUGAAAGUACGGACGUAAUACCGCAUAAUACUAAAUUACUGCAUGGUAAUUUAUUUAAACAUUUAUGGCUUACAGAUGGGCAUGCGCAUGAUUAGCUAGUUGGAGAGGUAACGGGCUCCCCCAAGGCAACGAUCAUUAGGGGUUCUGAGAGGAAGGUCCCCCACACUGGUACUGAGACACGGACCAGACUCCUACGGGAGGCAGCAGUGAGGAAUAUUGGUCAAUGGACGAGAGUCUGAACCAGCCAAGUCGCGUGCAGGAAAAGAAUGUCCUAUGGAUUGUAAACUGCUUUUGUAUGGGAGCAAUAAGGGCUACGCGUAGUCCGAUGAGAGUACCAUACGAAUAAGCACCGGCUAACUCCGUGCCAGCCGCCGC
RNAcentral lists this ribosomal RNA (510 nucleotides) under uncultured bacterium. Its description in RNAcentral is "bacterial SSU rRNA". It matches the Rfam family "Bacterial small subunit ribosomal RNA", at positions 19 to 518 of the family's 1533-position model. The record is from RNAcentral.